UUUCCUGAUGAUAACCAUAAUGUGUCUUGAAGACUCUGUCUGUGUAAGCACUCAAUAGACUACAACGGUAUCUGAAA
This 77-nucleotide small nucleolar RNA is filed under the name Yamadazyma tenuis ATCC 10573. Its description in RNAcentral is "Candida tenuis ATCC 10573 Small nucleolar RNA snR79". It matches the Rfam family "Small nucleolar RNA snR79". The record is from Rfam by way of RNAcentral. Lineage: Eukaryota; Fungi; Ascomycota; Pichiomycetes; Serinales; Debaryomycetaceae.